GAUGAAGAACGUAGCGAAAUGCGAUAAGUAGUGUGAAUUGCAGAAUUCAGUGAAUCAUCGAAUCUUUGAACGCACAUUGCGCCCUUUGGUAUUCCUUAGGGCAUGCCUGUUCGAGCGUCAUUUAAACCUUCAAGCUAAGCUUGGUGUUGGGUGACUGUCCGCUUCACGGCGGACUCGCCUCAAAAUUAUUGGCGGCCGGUACAUUGGAUUCGAGCGCAGCAGAAACGCGAACUCGGGCCCGUCGUAUUGGCUCCCAGAAGCUAUCUUCACAAUUUUGACCUCGGAUCAGGUAGGGAUACCCGCUGAACUUAAGCAUAUCAAUAAGCGGAGGA
RNAcentral lists this unclassified non-coding RNA (332 nucleotides) under soil metagenome. Its description in RNAcentral is "partial contains 5.8S ribosomal RNA, internal transcribed spacer 2, and large subunit ribosomal RNA". The stretch from base 1 to 120 matches the Rfam family "5.8S ribosomal RNA", at positions 35 to 154 of the family's 154-position model. The record is from RNAcentral.